RNAcentral lists this ribosomal RNA (283 nucleotides) under uncultured prokaryote. RNAcentral's name for it is "partial 16S ribosomal RNA". It matches the Rfam family "Bacterial small subunit ribosomal RNA", at positions 524 to 817 of the family's 1533-position model. The record is from RNAcentral.
UACGUAGGGGGCUAGCGUUAUCCGGAAUUACUGGGCGUAAAGGGUGCGUAGGUGGUUUCUUAAGUCAGAGGUGAAAGGCUACGGCUCAACCGUAGUAAGCCUUUGAAACUGGGAAACUUGAGUGCAGGAGAGGAGAGUGGAAUUCCUAGUGUAGCGGUGAAAUGCGUAGAUAUUAGGAGGAACACCAGUUGCGAAGGCGGCUCUCUGGACUGUAACUGACGCUGAGGCACGAAAGCGUGGGGAGCAAACAGGAUUAGAUACCCCGGUAGUCCCUGAGCGGGCU